UACAAAAUAAUAUGUUUAAAUAGUUCAAACCGGUGAGGAGUACCCCUCGUGAGGAGGGCAUACUAUUUUUUUUUAUUAUUUUUUUAUUUUUUAUUCCUUUGUUUUUCUUUUAUCAUCAUCUUACUAUUAAGAUAUAUUUUGGAAAUAUAUUUGAUAUAUCUUGAUAUUAUUAUUCGAUAGGAUAUAUCUAUGUUAAUUAGAUCGAUAUAUUUAGGUAGCUUUCCUAGUUGUUUCCAAAUUCUAAGGACUUUAUAUAUAUAUAUAUAUAUAGGGUCGGGAUCCGGUGAGAACCACCCUUUAUGUGAGAACACUCCUAAUAUAUGAGAACAAAUCUAAGCCUUAGGAUCAAACAAUAUCAACGGCUCUAAUAAAUCCAAACUUUUCAUCCAUAUACUUCCUGCUACUCAGAAAAACAGAGUGAAGAAACUACGAGCUUCAAUUUCAAUGAGAUUCAAGGAUUUCGAACACAAUUUCGUUUGAUUUUUGUCAGAAUUCAGCAGCAACAAGAAUCAACAAGCUUCAUAGAUUAUACAGGUUGGGAUUAGGUCUAUCCAAAGUGAAAUGUCAAACAUUAAUAUCAGGGGGAGUGCGAGGUACCCUUUCUUGGAUGGAACCUGAGCUUCUGAGUGGCAGCAACAGUCUAGUCUCGUCUCUGAGAAGGAGGAAUUGUGAGCAACACUUUGUGACCACCUAUUCCUGUGAAUUGUGACCCAGAGUGGAGAAAUGCUGUGCUGCAGACCCACUACAGAGGCCGAACUUCACAGAAAUCGCCAACGAGUUGCGCGUUAUGGCUGCCAAAAUUUCAGCUAAGGGGCAAACACCAGUUACAACUACAAGAACAAACACCUAGUUGGUUUUAAUUUUCUUGGCUCUCAUUCAGUUAAUGUCUAGUUGGAGUAUGUAUAUGGCCUAUGCUAAUUUGGCAUCAUAGUCUUAUGGAUAUCAUAUGGAUAGUUGCUCAUUUGUCAAAUGAGCAAACAAUUCUUUGUUCAUUUUAUCAAAUGAGUAAAUAAUUCUUUGUUCA
Molecule: long non-coding RNA, 1024 nt
Organism: Chenopodium quinoa (quinoa)
Lineage: Eukaryota; Viridiplantae; Streptophyta; Magnoliopsida; Caryophyllales; Amaranthaceae
Exons: 3
Source: RefSeq, a predicted model, not a curated record